Glycine max (soybean) is the source of this 91-nucleotide non-coding RNA. The record is from Rfam. NCBI's taxonomy places the organism in Eukaryota, Viridiplantae, Streptophyta, Magnoliopsida, Fabales, Fabaceae.
AUAGCGGUGAUGAGCCUCUAACAUGUAAGGAGAAAUCCCCAGUUGGGUUUCUUUAAUGAAAUUUGCUUGUUACGCUUGGCUUCUGAGCUCU